This 301-nucleotide ribosomal RNA is filed under the name uncultured bacterium. RNAcentral's name for it is "partial 16S ribosomal RNA". It matches the Rfam family "Bacterial small subunit ribosomal RNA", at positions 509 to 807 of the family's 1533-position model. The record is from RNAcentral.
CAGUCGCCGCGGUAAUACGUAGGGUGCAAGCGUUAAUCGGAAUUACUGGGCGUAAAGCGUGCGCAGGCGGUCCGCUAAGACAGAUGUGAAAUCCCCGGGCUUAACCUGGGAACUGCAUUUGUGACUGGCGGGCUAGAGUAUGGCAGAGGGGGGUAGAAUUCCACGUGUAGCAGUGAAAUGCGUAGAGAUGUGGAGGAAUACCGAUGGCGAAGGCAGCCCCCUGGGCCAAUACUGACGCUCAUGCACGAAAGCGUGGGGAGCAAACAGGAUUAGAUACCCGCGUAGUCCCUGUCUCUUAUAC